RNAcentral lists this small RNA (475 nucleotides) under Pan troglodytes (chimpanzee). Its description in RNAcentral is "processed transcript". The record is from RNAcentral. Lineage: Eukaryota; Metazoa; Chordata; Mammalia; Primates; Hominidae.
GAUGGAGUCUUGCUCUGUUGUCCAGGCAGGAGUGCCAUGGCACGAUCUUGGCUCACUGCAGUCUCUGCCUCUUGAGUUCCAGUGAUUCUCCUGCCUCAGCCUCCUGAGUAGCUGGGAUUACAGGCAUGCACCACCACACCCAGCUAAUUUUUGUAUUUUUAGUAGAGACAGGAUUUCACUACAUUAGCUAGGCUGGUCUCAAACUCCUGACCUCAGUUGAUCCACCUGCCUUGGCCUCCCAAAGUACUAGGGUUACAAGUGUGAGCCACCGUGCCCAGCUGAGAUCUGAUGGUUUUAUACAUGUUUGACAGUUGCUCCUUCACAUGUUCCCACUCUCUGUGCGGCCACCAUGUAAGUCGGACCUGCCCUUCUACCAUGAUUGUAAGUUUCCUGAAGGACUUCCCCCUCUGCCAUGAUUGUAAGUUUCCUGAGGCCUCCCCAGCCAUGUGAAACUGAGUCAAUUAAACCUCUUUCC